Molecule: non-coding RNA, 71 nt
Organism: Ricinus communis (castor bean)
Lineage: Eukaryota; Viridiplantae; Streptophyta; Magnoliopsida; Malpighiales; Euphorbiaceae
Source: Rfam
GCAAAUAUAGUCGAAUGGUAAAAUUUCUCUUUGCUAAAGAGAAGAUGUGGGUUCGAUUCCCCCUCUUCGCC